GACGAACGCUGGCGGCGUGCCUAAAACAUGCAAGUCGAACGGUGUAGCAAUACACAGUGGCGAACGGCGGAGUAAUACAUAAGCAACGUGCCCUGAAGACUGGGAUAGUCAGAGGAAACUCUGGGUAAUACCAGAUGUGGCCCCUUUCCGGCAUCGGAGAGUGGUUAAACGGUUUUCGCUUCAGGAGCGGCUUAUGGCCUAUCAGGUAGUUGGUGAGGUAACGGCUCACCAAGCCGACGACGGGUAGCGGGUCUGAGAGGAUGAUCCGCUCGAGUGGGACUGAGACACGGCCCACACACCUACGGGUGGCAGCAGUUGGGAAUCUUGCACAAUGGGGGAAACCCUGAUGCAGCGACGCCGCGUGGAGGAUGAAGGAUCUAGGUCUGU
This 387-nucleotide ribosomal RNA is filed under the name uncultured bacterium. Its description in RNAcentral is "bacterial SSU rRNA". It matches the Rfam family "Bacterial small subunit ribosomal RNA", at positions 28 to 426 of the family's 1533-position model. The record is from RNAcentral.